AGAGUUUGAUCAUGGCUCAGAUUGAACGCUGGCGGUAGGCUUAACACAUGCAAGUCGUGCGAGAAAGUAUCUUCGGAUAUGAGUAGAGCGGCGGACGGGUGAGUAACGCGUAGGAAUCUACCUAGUAGAAGGGGAUAGCCCGGGGAAACUCGGAUUAAUACCGUAUACCCCCUAAGGGAGAAAGAGGGCCUCUCUUGAAGCUCUCGCUAUUAGAUGAGCCUGCGUAAGAUUAGCUUGUUGGUAAGGUAAUGGCUUACCAAGGCUACGAUCUUUAGCUGGUCUGAGAGGACGAUCAGCCACAUUGGGACUGAGACACGGCCCAGACUCCUACGGGAGGCAGCAGUGGGGAAUAUUGGACAAUGGGCGCAAGCCUGAUCCAGCCAUACCGCGUGUGUGAAGAAGGCCUUCGGGUUGUAAAGCACUUUAAGCAGGGAGAAAAAGCAAUAAGUUAAUACCUUAUUGCCGUGAUGUUACCUGCAGAAUAAGCACCGGCUAAUUCCGUGUCAGCAGCCGCGGUAAUACGGAAGGUGCAAGCGUUAAUCGGAAUUACUGGGCGUAAAGCGCGCGUAGGUGGUUUGUUAAGUUGGAUGUGAAAGCCCUGGGCUCAACCUAGGAACUGCAUCCAAAACUAACUCACUAGAGUACGAUAGA
This 651-nucleotide ribosomal RNA is filed under the name uncultured marine bacterium. Its description in RNAcentral is "bacterial SSU rRNA". It matches the Rfam family "Bacterial small subunit ribosomal RNA", at positions 8 to 655 of the family's 1533-position model. The record is from RNAcentral.